RNAcentral lists this unclassified non-coding RNA (1030 nucleotides) under Hevea brasiliensis (rubber tree). The record is from RNAcentral. Lineage: Eukaryota; Viridiplantae; Streptophyta; Magnoliopsida; Malpighiales; Euphorbiaceae.
UUUUUUUUUUUUUUUUUCUUCUCUAAAGAGGAUGUGGGAAGCUAAAGGAAGAGUUGAUGAAAUUGUGUGGAGCAAGAAUAGAGGUUAAUGGCCAAUUUGAUGGAAUGUGCUUAUUAAGGAAGAAGGAAGAAAUGAUAAAUAACAAAUUCUUGGAAAGUAGUUGAAGAUGUUGGAACAAAUGCAAACGUGACACAUCUUCUCUUUGUAACUCUAUUUCUCUCUCUAAUAUGACUCUCAUUCUCUAUCUACUGUGGUUCUUCUUCUUCUCUAAAAUUCUUCUUUGCAAUUCUUGUUCAUAUACAAUGGGUUUGUGUCUGUGUGUUGUUUUUCCUUCUCUUUUAUUCUGUGGAUCUCUGAAAGUUGAAACUUUUUGGUAUGGGUUUUGGUGUUUAUUUGGUUUUAUGAUGUGAGUUUUGGGAUUAGACCAAGAAUUUUUUAGUUUUUUGUUAGAUCUAAUCUAUUUGAUUUCUUCUCAUUAUUUUCUCGACAAUUUUUUCCGCUCAACAUUGAAAUUUUUCUAGUAAAGUCUUUCCCCACCUGUAAUCAAUGGUGAGAUCUAGGCAGUUCACUUGAUGAUUCUGUUAGAUGAUAAGAUUCAAUUUGAUUUUUAGUCUACUUGUUUUCUUUAGUAUCAAAUUUGAUUACUCUAAUCUGCUUGUAGUAGAACUGUGUAUCAAUUUCAAUUGAAAAUCGUUCAAGGUUAAGUUGAAAUUAUGUAGAUUUUUAUGAAGUUAUGUCUAUAAUAAAGAAUUUUAAUUGAAUUAUUGUGUCCAGUAAAAUUGCUGUAAGUUAUCGGAUUAUAAAAUUUUGUGUUCAUAAAUAUAUUCUGUAGUAAAUGAAAAGCUGAAAGCUAAAUUGUGUUGAAUGAUAAUGUAGGCCUUCUCUAGUUGUUCCUUUAUGCUCUAUUUUUAAUACUUCUACAUCUGAUGUUCACAGGUUUGAAAAUACAAAGGAUGCAAUGAGACUAAUUAAGGAGUUGAGAUUUAAGAGUUCAAGGCCAUUUGAGAUCCCUACAGGUUAAAGAUGAUGA